This 480-nucleotide ribosomal RNA is filed under the name Gloeandromyces cusucoensis. RNAcentral's name for it is "SSU rRNA". It matches the Rfam family "Eukaryotic small subunit ribosomal RNA", at positions 391 to 874 of the family's 1831-position model. Lineage: Eukaryota; Fungi; Ascomycota; Laboulbeniomycetes; Laboulbeniales; Laboulbeniaceae. The record is from RNAcentral.
GGAGCCUGAGAAACGGCUACCACAUCCAAGGAAGGCAGCAGGCGCGCAAAUUACCCAAUCCCAACAUGGGGAGGUAGUGACAAGAAAUACUGAUAUAGGGUCCUAUAGGAUCUUGUAAUUGGAAUGAGUACAAUUUAAACCCAUUAACGAGGAACAACUAGAGGGCAAGUCUGGUGCCAGCAGCCGCGGUAAUUCCAGCUCUAGUAGCAUACAUUAAAAUUGUUGCAGUUAAAACGCCCGUAGUUGAAGCUUAGGUCCUCAUCAUCUGGUCUGCCUCACCGCUAGUACUGGUAUGAUUGGGCCUUUUUUCUUGGUGAACUGUUAUGCCCUUUAUUGGGUGUGGCAGUGAACUAGGACUUUUACUUUGAAAAAAUUAGAGUGUUUAAAGCAGGCUUUUGCUCGAAUACCUUAGCAUGGAAUAAUGGAAUAUGACGAGUGGUUGUUUUUCAUUGGUUUUCACGACUACCGUAAUGAUUGAUA